RNAcentral lists this ribosomal RNA (253 nucleotides) under uncultured bacterium. Its description in RNAcentral is "partial 16S ribosomal RNA". It matches the Rfam family "Bacterial small subunit ribosomal RNA", at positions 524 to 776 of the family's 1533-position model. The record is from RNAcentral.
UACGGAGGGUGCGAGCGUUGUCCGGAAUCAUUGGGCGUAAAGGGCGCGUAGGUGGCCCGGUCAGUCAGUGGUGAAAGCGCGGGGCUCAACUCCGCGUCGGCCAUUGAUACUGCUGGGCUUGAGCACUGUAGAGGCAGGCGGAAUUCCGGGUGUAGCGGUGGAAUGCGUAGAGAUCCGGAAGAACACCGGUGGCGAAGGCGGAUCUCUGGGCCUGAUCUGACGCUGAGGCGCGAAAGCUAGGGGAGCGAACAGG